GCUAAAUACCGCAUACGCCCUACGGGGGAAAGCAGGGGGUCGCAAGACCUUGCACUAUUGGUGCGGCCGGUAUCGGAUUAGCUAGUUGGUGGGGUAACGGCUCACCAAGGCGACGAUCCGUAGCUGGUUUGAGAGGACGACCAGCCACACUGGGACUGAGACACGGCCCAGACUCCUACGGGAGGCAGCAGUGGGGAAUUUUGGACAAUGGGGGAAACCCUGAUCCAGCCAUCCCGCGCUGUGCGAUGAAGGCCUUCGGGUUGUAAAGCACUUUUGGCAGGAAAGAAACGUCGCGGGUUAAUACCCCGCGGAACUGACGGUACCUGCAGAAUAAGCACCGGCUAACUACGUGCCAGCAGCCGCGGUAAUACGUAGGGUGCAAGCGUUAAUCGGAAUUAACUGGGCGUAAAGCGUGCGCAGGCGGUUCGGAAAGAAAGAUGUGAAAUCCCAGAGCUUAACUUUGGAACUGCAUUUUUAACUACCGGGCUAGAGUGUGUCAGAGGGAGGUGGAAUUUCGCGUGUAGCAGUGAAAUGCGUAGAUAUGCGGAGGAACACCGAUGGCGAAGGCAGCCUCCUGGGAUAACACUGACGCUCAUGCACGAAAGCGUGGGGAGCAAACAGG
This 622-nucleotide ribosomal RNA is filed under the name uncultured Achromobacter sp. RNAcentral describes it as "bacterial SSU rRNA". It matches the Rfam family "Bacterial small subunit ribosomal RNA", at positions 161 to 776 of the family's 1533-position model. Lineage: Bacteria; Pseudomonadati; Pseudomonadota; Betaproteobacteria; Burkholderiales; Alcaligenaceae. The record is from RNAcentral.